UUAAUCCUACGGGAGGCAGCAGUGGGGAAUAUUGCACAAUGGGGGGAACCCUGAUGCAGCGACGCCGCGUGAGUGAAGAAGUAUCUCGGUACGUAAAGCUCUAUCAGCAGGGAAGAAAAUGACGGUACCUGACUAAGAAGCCCCGGCUAACUACGUGCCAGCAGCCGCGGUAAUACGUAGGGGGCAAGCGUUAUUCGGAUUUACUGGGUGUAAAGGGAGCGUAGGCGGCGAUGCAAGUCAGAAGUGAAAGCCCGGGGCUCAACUCCGGGACUGCUUUUGAAACUGUGUUGCUAGAUUGCAGGAGG
RNAcentral lists this ribosomal RNA (305 nucleotides) under uncultured bacterium. RNAcentral describes it as "bacterial SSU rRNA". It matches the Rfam family "Bacterial small subunit ribosomal RNA", at positions 333 to 655 of the family's 1533-position model. The record is from RNAcentral.